RNAcentral lists this ribosomal RNA (473 nucleotides) under uncultured bacterium. RNAcentral's name for it is "partial 16S ribosomal RNA". It matches the Rfam family "Bacterial small subunit ribosomal RNA", at positions 355 to 843 of the family's 1533-position model. The record is from RNAcentral.
UGGGGAAUAUUGCACAAUGGGCGAAAGCCUGAUGCAGCAACGCCGCGUGAGUGAUGAAGGCCUUCGGAUUGUAAAGCUCUGUCUUUUGGGACGAUAAUGACGGUACCAAAGGAGGAAGCCACGGCUAACUACGUGCCAGCAGCCGCGGUAAUACGUAGGUGGCGAGCGUUGUCCGGAUUUACUGGGCGAUAAAGGGUGCGUAGGCGGAUGUUUAAGUGAGAUGUGAAAUACCCGGGCUUAACUUGGGUGCUGCAUUUCAAACUGGAUAUCUAGAGUGCAGGAGAGGAGAAUGGAAUUCCUAGUGUAGCGGUGAAAUGCGUAGAGAUUAGGAAGAACACCAGUGGCGAAGGCGAUUCUCUGGACUGUAACUGACGCUGAGGCACGAAAGCGUGGGUAGCAAACAGGAUUAGAUACCCUGGUAGUCCACGCCGUAAACGAUGAGUACUAGGUGUAGGAGGUAUCGACCCCUUCUG